This 252-nucleotide ribosomal RNA is filed under the name uncultured bacterium. RNAcentral's name for it is "partial 16S ribosomal RNA". It matches the Rfam family "Bacterial small subunit ribosomal RNA", at positions 524 to 776 of the family's 1533-position model. The record is from RNAcentral.
UACGUAGGGGGCAAGCGUUGUCCGGAAUUAUUGGGCGUAAAGCGCGCGCAGGCGGUCAUUUAAGUCUGGUGUUUAAUCCCGGGGCUCAACCCCGGAUCGCACUGGAAACUGGGUGACUUGAGUGCAGAAGAGGAGAGUGGAAUUCCACGUGUAGCGGUGAAAUGCGUAGAUAUGUGGAGGAACACCAGUGGCGAAGGCGACUCUCUGGGCUGUAACUGACGCUGAGGAGCGAAAGCGUGGGGAGCGAACAGG